RNAcentral lists this ribosomal RNA (254 nucleotides) under uncultured bacterium. RNAcentral's name for it is "partial 16S ribosomal RNA". It matches the Rfam family "Bacterial small subunit ribosomal RNA", at positions 524 to 776 of the family's 1533-position model. The record is from RNAcentral.
UACGUAGGGGGCGAGCGUUGUCCGGAAUCAUUGGGCGUAAAGAGCUCGUAGGCGGCUCAGUAAGUCGGCUGUGAAAUCCCAGGGCUCAACCCUGGAACUGCAGUCGAUACUGCUGUGGCUAGAGUCUGGUAGAGGAGAGUGGAAUUCCCGGUGUAGCGGUGGAAUGCGCAGAUAUCGGGAGGAACACCAGUAGCGAAGGCGGCUCUCUGGGCCAGUACUGACGCUGAGGAGCAAAAGCGUGGGGAGCAAACAGG